ACUCCUACGGGAGGCAGCAGUGGGGAAUAUUGCACAAUGGGCGCAAGCCUGAUGCAGCCAUGCCGCGUGAGUGAUGAAGGCCUUAGGGUCGUAAAGCUCUUUCGCCUGUGAAGAUAAUGACGGUAGCAGGUAAAGAAACCCCGGCUAACUCCGUGCCAGCAGCCGCGGUAAUACGGAGGGGGUUAGCGUUGUUCGGAAUUACUGGGCGUAAAGCGCACGUAGGCGGAUCGGAAAGUUGGGGGGUGAAAUCCCGGGGCUCAACCCCGGAACGGCCUCCAAAACUAUCGGUCUAGAGUUCGAGAGAGGUGAGUGGAAUUCCGAGUGUAGAGGUGAAAUUCGUAGAUAUUCGGAGGAACACCAGUGGCGAAGGCGGCUCACUGGCUCGAUACUGACGCUGAGGUGCGAAAGUGUGGGGAGCAAACAGGAUUAGAUACCCUGGUAGGACAGUG
Molecule: ribosomal RNA, 449 nt
Filed under: uncultured bacterium
Lineage: Bacteria
Description: bacterial SSU rRNA
Rfam family: Bacterial small subunit ribosomal RNA
Source: RNAcentral